RNAcentral lists this microRNA precursor (59 nucleotides) under Lingula anatina. RNAcentral describes it as "Lan-Mir-10-P3_pre stem-loop". Lineage: Eukaryota; Metazoa; Brachiopoda; Lingulata; Lingulida; Lingulidae. The record is from RNAcentral.
UCCCUGAGACCUUAACUUGUGAUGGUGCUGAAAUAUCCCAGGUUAGGGUAUCGGGGUUA